RNAcentral lists this transfer RNA (75 nucleotides) under Woeseiaceae bacterium. Its description in RNAcentral is "tRNA-Gln". It matches the Rfam family "tRNA". Rfam says of the family: Transfer RNA (tRNA) molecules are approximately 80 nucleotides in length. Their secondary structure includes four short double-helical elements and three loops (D, anti-codon, and T loops). The record is from RNAcentral. Lineage: Bacteria; Pseudomonadati; Pseudomonadota; Gammaproteobacteria; Woeseiales; Woeseiaceae.
UGAGCGCUCGUCUAACGGCGAAGACGCGAGGCUCUGACCCUCGAGAUCGUGGUUCGAAUCCAUGGCGCUUGACCA